GGGUGAGUAAUACAUCGGAACGUGCCCMGUCGUGGGGGAUAACUACUCGAAMGAGUAGCUAAUACCGCAUACGAUCUGAGGAUGAAAGCGGGGGACCUUCGGGCCUCGCGCGAUUGGAGCGGSCGAUGGCWGAUUAGGUAGUUGGUGGGAUAAAAGCUUACCAAGCCGACGAUCUGUAGCUGGUCUGAKAGGACGACCAGCCACACUGGGACUGAGACACGGCCCAGACUCCUACGGGAGGCAGCAGUGGGGAAUUUUGGACAAUGGGCGAAAGCCUGAUCCAGCAAUGCCGCGUGCAGGAUGAAGGCCUUCGGGUUG
Molecule: ribosomal RNA, 318 nt
Filed under: Delftia sp. RZ4MS12
Lineage: Bacteria; Pseudomonadati; Pseudomonadota; Betaproteobacteria; Burkholderiales; Comamonadaceae
Description: bacterial SSU rRNA
Rfam family: Bacterial small subunit ribosomal RNA
Source: RNAcentral